RNAcentral lists this long non-coding RNA (4066 nucleotides) under Equus caballus (horse). RNAcentral's name for it is "lncRNA (ENSECAG00000053663.1)". The record is from RNAcentral. Lineage: Eukaryota; Metazoa; Chordata; Mammalia; Perissodactyla; Equidae.
GGGACCUGAUAUGGCAGUUCCUUGAUGUGGGGAGUGUCUUUGCAUCCAGAAAGCCCCGGGGCUGGGGUUCUGGCUUGGUCUUGGAAGGGGUUCUGGGGUGGACUUGGGGGUGCUAUUUGCAAGUUAGAAGCCGAGGCUGGAGUUCUGCGGGGCCUGAGGCUGGGGCUCCGAUCUGCGGGACCCGGGGUCGCUGUCUGCAAUCUGGGCUGGUGACGGCAGGCCCGCAGGGGGGCCCGGAGGGGGCCCGGAGGUCCUACCUGGCGAGUAGAGCGCGGCUAGCUCGCGGGCCCCGGCAUGCUGCGCGCCCCAGCGCCGGCCAUACGCCGCCUCGUCCUCGUCGAGCUCCGGCUGCUGGCCCGGCCCAUCCUCGGCGCCCGCCAUGGCCCCUCGCCCGGCCCGCCUGGCACGCUCCGCUAGCGCUGCUGGCGGCGGCGGCGGCAGGGCCGCGGAAUCGCGGCGAGAUCACGCCGCCCAAUGACUGCCCAGCGCCGGGCGCGGCGGCGGCGCCGGCAGCCGCCUCGCCCGGCCGCGCGUCACAGCCAAUCGGGGCCCGCGCCGGGGCCGCGCCGGCCAAUCAGCGGCCGCCGAGCCGCAGCCAACCGCGGCGCGCGGGGGGCAGGGCCACAGCUGGGCGCAGCUGGGCGCGGAAGCGCAUCUCCGCGGGCUGCCCUGCGCCCCCGGGCCGGCCCGGCCCGGUCCGCCUCCCCGACACGCGCGGGCCGGCACCGCCCACCAUGGGCUCGGCCGCUGGGCCUGCGCAGUGGGCCGGAGUUGUGCGCCGCCGCGCCCAGAAACGGGCCUGUUUUCAGCCCGCACCGCCAAGCGCCUACUGUGUGCAAGGAGCGCGAGCGGAGGGCGCGGGGACGGGGCCAGGGAGCCCUCGCUUGGAGGACUCUUUGAAUAGUGCUCCCUAGCUGGGGCCGGUUUGCGCUGGGCUGCCUUAUGGAGCCUCACCACCUGCAGAGAUGACGAGGACCGUGCGUACACCUACUGGGUGCCGGCUUGUGCUGUGCGCCCUGGGGAGGAGAAACGUCGAGCCUGACCCCCAGGAGCUCCUGUUCUCCCCAGGGAGAGGACAGUAAACCGAUGAGAAUGACCCUAAGAGUCACUGUAAGAUUUGCAUGGAGCCUGCAUCUCGCCAGUGCAUCUCUUAAAAGAACGUAUGGAUGAGUGCAUGACGGGGAGCCGUGAGAUCCAGCCCUGCACCUGGAAAAAGGCACAAAGACCACACUCAAGCCUGGGUGGAAGCAUCGUCCAAAUGCAGUGGAAAAAUUUAUGGCCAGAGGAACUAGUUCCAAACCUGGCCCUUCUCCUCGCUUGCUGUGUGCCCCUGGAUAACCCACGUGCCCUCUCUGGGCCUGACACUCCUUGGUUGCAAACCAGGCUUAGCAAAUUCAUGGACUCUGUGCAAUUUAAAGAUUUUCAUUGCUCUUUGCAAUUCUAUUUCUAGAAAUCCAUUCCCAGAGAAAUUCUCACCUCACACCCCAUGAACACAGGUACAAGGAUGUAGCUUGGUUUGUGGAGUAAAACCCUGGAAAUAUCCUCAAAGGUGAUUAAUUAAACUGCGGCACAUUCAUGUUCUAGAGUGCUAGAGAGCUGACUGUGGCCGCGAGGAAUUCUCUGGUGACACUUGCUGGCACAGAAUGACACUGCAGCCCAGCUCAGCAAGGCACUGGGAAUUUCCAGAACCAGAGAGGCUCAGGGUAGCUGUGAGGAUGGUCUGGGAAGCCAUAGACCAGGGGGAGGUUUGGGAGGACGGCUGAGGCAAGGUGACUGGCCAGGGUGUGAAGUCGAGAGCAGAGACCCGGGUGUGAACUCCAGCUUCACCACUUCCUAGCUGGCGGAGCUUGGGCAGAUUAGGGACUUUCUCUGACCCUCAGUCUCUUCUUCUAGAGAAUGAGAUGUCUGAUGAGGAUUCAAAGAGAGAAUUCAUUCAUUCAUCAUCUAUUGAACCAACACUGAGCCCCUCUGAUGUCAGUGGUUGAUGAGAGUCUCCAGGCACUGAGGGUGCACCAGGACCUGGUCCUGCCCUCAUGGGGCUCUCAGUCUAGUGGGGGAGACAAUCAACAAGUAAACAGGCAGACAAGGUAAUUUCAGGUACUGAUGACACCGUAAAGGAAAAUAAAGCAGGGGAUGGGUCUGGGGGUGGAGGCACAUUACAGACACGGGCUCGGGGAGGGCGUCUCGGAGAGGGUGUGAGCAGAGGCCUGAAGGAGCCACAUCUUGGAGCACAACAUAUAAGACGCCAGUGGACGAACCUGGCACAUAGCAAAUCUCAAUAAACGCUGGGUCAUUGUCUCAUCACGCGGGAAAGGAAUUAAAGGGAGACUGGAAUCCGUCUCCUGGGGUCUGAGGCAGGCACGAGAGUGAGAAGAUUCCCGGGGCCUGGAGGGGGAGAAGCAGCCCCUGGACCGAGCGGCCCCAGCUCUGGAGGCCUUGCGCAAACAAGUGUCUAAGCCUCCAUUUCGUCCUUCGGAAAACAAGGCCAAUAAUGCCCACCCUGUGAUAUUGGGGGUUGUUACGGGCUGAACUGUGUCCCCCCAAAUCCAUGUAUUGAAGUCCUAGCCCCCAGGACCUCCAAUGGGACUGUGUUUGGAGAGCGGUUUUUGAAGAGGUGGUUAAGGUAAAAUGAGGUCAUGAGGGUGGGCCCGAAUCCACUAGGACCGGUGUCCCUGUGAGAAGAGGAGAUGAGGUCACGGGCACACACAGAGGGAUGACCUUGUGAAGACACAGGGAGAGGACAACCAUCCACAAGCCAAGGAGAGAGGCCUCAGAGGGAACCAAUGCUGCUGACACUUUGAUCUUAGACUUCCAGCCUCCAGAACCACAAGACGAUAAACUUCCAUGGUUUAAGCUGCCCGGUCUGCGGUCCUUUCUUAUGGCAGCUGUGCAGGGGAGUACGGGUGACGUAGGACACAGGCACACAGGGCCCUCGAGAGAGGCUGCCCCGGAGCCCGACUCGUGAACCCUCAGCAUCUCUGCAGACUCCAGGCCAGUCUCAAGAUUGCCGCGGUUGCUCUGAAGCUGGGCCCAGUGUGCCUCUGGAUUGCCUAGCCUUGGGGACCCAGCUCACUUAGUUUCUGCCCUGCCCUCUGGUUCAUUACUCCAUCAAUCCACAAACUUCACGUGGUGCCCCUGCGGCCAUUCUGUAAAUUAUGGCGUGGCGGGUGCAUCAGCUGGGGUCCAGUCUGGAAAGCGGAGAUCACUCUGGGCAUUUCAAACAGAAGGAAUGGCGUACAGGGAAGUGCUUAUACAGACGAUGGGAGAGCUGAGACGCCAAAAGGGCAGGAUUAGGCACCCUGGAAUGGGCCACAGCCGGAGGCCAGAGGCACAGAAGGAGGCUGUGGUGUCACUGGAUACAAAAAGCCAGGGCUAGAACCACAUGGGGGCUGCCUGGUGGGAACUGGGACCAGGAAGGGAGGGCCUCUUGGGUAGGGGCUGUUCCUCUGUCCUCAGAGCCAUUGCCCGCCCUUCCUCCAUUCUUCACUGAAUUACAGAGUGGCUGACCUCUGCCGGCUGCAUUGCCCAGACUCCGGGUGGGCUGACUUCCCAUUGGCCAAUAGGUGGUCAUGAUGGGAGACAGGAGGCUGGAGGAAGGGAGAAGCAGAAUAUUUCUCCCUCUCUUCUGACAUCUUGGGCUGCAUCUCCAUCAACCGUGGUGUCUCCCCCAGGGCUCCAGCCCUCGCAGGACAGUCCACAGUGCUUCCAGCUUCGCAGAGUGACCACAGGGCUACUGUAAUGUUACCUCCUCCUGCCAUCCCUCCAGCUUCAAGGUGGCAAUGGCUUUCUGCUGAAAUCUCUGAGCUGCUUCACCGUCUCUUGUUUGGCUUCUGGGCCCCUCCGUCAUCUCGGUACCGCGUUCUCUGCUGGAAAGUCUGUCUGUGUAAACGCUCAGUGGUUUCCUUUCCCGAUAUGAGGAAAGGACCUGAGAGCUAACUGGCAAGCGGCCAGCCCAGAAGGCCUCUCUUGCCCCUUUGUCCUUCUUACAGAUAAAAGCCGGGCAGCCUGCAGAUGGCAGAGGCAGCUGGGUGUUAGGGAUCAAAGGCUGGCCCUCGAGUCAGGCAGG